GUCACAGCCGAAAUGGGUCGAAAGUGCCUCCAGGAACUUUGUCUUAAUGGAACUCAAAAAUGGCUUAAAGGAGCCGGAGCGGGUCUCCAGACACACGCAACGUGUCUCCGUCCUCGGCCGCCGACGACCUUCCUCAGCCGUGGAUGAUGUCCCUCUGUACAGCCAGCCAAUCCAAUGUUUAAUCAGACAGCCGGGGCAGCCAGCGCACCGAUCCGUCAUCCAGCGCCGGUGAGUCAGUUACUCUGACAGCUGUCAUAUCCUCAGCAGGACCGGUCCGCCGGUCGGCAUCACCGGGGCCGCUGCGUGAGGGAAGGCACCGACGUUGCAGUUGGAUUUAGGCACCCGAGGGGGGGGUCAAGUUGGACCAAAUGCAUCUCGGCCUCGGCCAACUGGUGUUGAGCGUUGGGAGAGAGAACACUACGGGAUGUGGUGUUGAAAGAACUGGUUCUUAUCGCAGCUGCAGGGGCGAAUCCGGAAUGAAAAAUGUGAAGUAAUGUGGUCUUUUUGCACCGGAGUGGAUUUUAUUUUAUGAUCCAACGUCGCUACUCUUACGUGACUCACGCUUCUGCUCAGCAGCAGGAGAGUUUCACAGAUGACUAUUUCCCUUCAAUGUUCUUCCCUCUUUGCUUUUAAUGGUUGAGAAACACAUCAAAAUGAAUUCUCACAGGAAUUCUAGGGUUGACUACACAUCUUUUUUCGUUUUUUUGGGGAGUUUUUUCCUGUG
This is a long non-coding RNA of Gasterosteus aculeatus aculeatus (three-spined stickleback), 724 nucleotides long. NCBI's taxonomy places the organism in Eukaryota, Metazoa, Chordata, Actinopteri, Perciformes, Gasterosteidae. The record is from Ensembl.